RNAcentral lists this ribosomal RNA (497 nucleotides) under uncultured bacterium. RNAcentral's name for it is "partial 16S ribosomal RNA". It matches the Rfam family "Bacterial small subunit ribosomal RNA", at positions 28 to 507 of the family's 1533-position model. The record is from RNAcentral.
GAUGAACGCUGGCGGCGUGCCUAAUUCAUGCAAGUCGAGCGAACGGACGAGAAGCUUGCUUCUCUGAUGUUAGCGGCGGACGGGUGAGUAACACGUGGAUAACCUACCUAUAAGACUGGGAUAACUUCGGGAAACCGGAGCUAAUACCGGAUAAUAUUUUGAACCGCAUGGUUCAAAAGUAAAAGACGGUCUUGCUGUCACUUAUAGAUGGAUCCGCGCUGCAUUAGCUAGUUGGUAAGGUAACGGCUUACCAAGGCAACGAUGCAUAGCCGACCUGAGAGGGUGAUCGGCCACACUGGAACUGAGACACGGUCCAGACUCCUACGGGAGGCAGCAGUAGGGAAUCUUCCGCAAUGGGCGAAAGCCUGACGGAGCAACGCCGCGCGAGUGAUGAAGGUCUUCGGAUCGUAAAACUCUGUUAUUAGGGAAGAACAUAUGUGUAAGUAACUGUGCACAUCUUGACGGUACCUAAUCAGAAAGCCACGGCUAACUACGUG